RNAcentral lists this ribosomal RNA (408 nucleotides) under Salpingoeca fusiformis. Its description in RNAcentral is "partial small subunit ribosomal RNA". It matches the Rfam family "Eukaryotic small subunit ribosomal RNA", at positions 30 to 432 of the family's 1831-position model. The record is from RNAcentral. Lineage: Eukaryota; Choanoflagellata; Craspedida; Salpingoecidae.
GCUUGUCUCAAAGAUUAAGCCAUGCAUGUCUAAGUAUAAACAACUUUGUACUGUGAAACUGCGAAUGGCUCAUUAUAUCAGUUAUAGUCUACUCGAUAGUACCUUACUACUUGGAUAACCGUAGUAAUUCUAGAGCUAAUACAUGCGUAAAUACCCAACUGCUUGUCGGACGGGUAGCAUUUAUUAGAUUGAAACCAAUGCAGCUUCGGCUGGUAUUGUGUUGAGUCAUAAUAACUUUUGCGGAUCGCAUGGCCUUGAGCCGGCGACGAAUCAUUCAAAUUUCUGCCCUAUCAACUUUCGAUGGUACGGUAUUGGCCUACCAUGGUUACCACGGGUAACGGGGAAUUAGGGUUCGGUUCCGGAGAGGGGGCCUGAGAAAUGGCCACCACAUCCAAGGAAGGCAGCAGG